UUUGAAAGACCCAAAAAUCCUCCAAAUUAGACAGUAAAUGACAUAAAUGAGCAGCUAUAAAUGGUCCGCUACACUAGGGUUGUUGGCUUUCAAUGUGAACUGACUUAGUUGUUUACCCUCUAAAAUGUACUUUGUGUGCUUCCAUUUUAACGUUGGAGCUUUCUUCGGUGGGGAGAGAAUAAUCUGGACUUUGAAGGACCAGGUUAUAAACUCAAAUAAUCAAAAAUACAUAGGUUGGUUCACAAAUAAAACAAAGUAAUGGUUGGGAGGAAUUUGAAAACGGUUUAGAAUUUCUUAUUACAAAAAAGCACCAAAAUCUAUUAUUAGGUAGGCUUAAGUUGGAUUGGAGUCACUGGUAAGCUUCGUUUGGAACCAUAGAAGGAGACGGCGCACCACGGUGGAGGAGAUCGAGUGAUUGAACUCCAAAAUCCUAAUCAGAAUUUUUCGAUUCCAAUGGAGGAGAAACACCGCCGAUGCCGCAUCUCCAACUCCUUCCACCACCACCGACUCACCCGCAUCUGAGCCUACCUCAACGUGCCACCGUGCCGGAGCUCUGAAGCGCAAGGCCAGCUCCCUCUCACUAUAGCGCGUCAAAUGCACGCGGUGGCAUUGCUGCGUCGUCUUCCCCAGCAAGUUCUGCUUUUGCUCCGGCGGAUGUGAAGCACUCAGAGCACAGUUUGGGCGUGGACUCAGUGCCGCUGGCUGAGGAGAUCUGAGAGAAGAGCAAAACAGAGAGAUUCAGAAAGGAUAGAGAGCUCGCCUCGCCGUCGUCGUUGCCGUCGCCACCACAGUUCAUCGCCUCUCCAGAUCUGGUCGCAACACCCAAGCCUCUGAGGAUGUUCCAUUACGAUCUCCUCAACGAGACACAGAACAAGCUCGAUUACAUCCUCUCUCUCUCUCUCACUGUCGAGAACUUCCUCGGGCGCCGCCUCCAUAUUCUCGUCUUCAAGUCCGGCAUGGCCAAGUCCAUCCAUCAGUGCAUAUUAGGGCAUAGAAGAAGCUCUCAACUGUUGGAUUGUGGGAGAGUAAAAAGAAAGCCUCGGUGGAGGCACAACUCAAGAUAAUUGAGGAAAACUUGAAAAGAAAGAAAGCAGAAUAUGCAGAAAAUAUGAAGAAUAAGAUAGCUGAUAUUCAUAGGUCAGCAGAAGAGAAAAAGGCAAUGGUUGAAGCUCAAAAGAAGGAAGAGUUUAUCGAGUUAGAGAAAACAGCUGCAAAAUUUUGUAGUAGUGGUCCUACACCAGCCAAAUUCUUUGCAUGUUUUAAAAGCAUAAGUUUUCUUCUUUUUUUUUUUUCUAUUUAGCUAACUACAAAAAGAUCAGAACAUCAUUGGUGUGGUUAUUACUUGUUAAUAUUCAUUUAAAAAUUUGCUUUGAAGUGUUGUAUUUUUCUCUUGGUGUAUAUACUAUUAUAUCAUUGAUAUGAAC
Molecule: long non-coding RNA, 1424 nt
Organism: Arachis stenosperma
Lineage: Eukaryota; Viridiplantae; Streptophyta; Magnoliopsida; Fabales; Fabaceae
Exons: 3
Source: RefSeq, a predicted model, not a curated record